Non-coding RNA from Populus trichocarpa (black cottonwood), 122 nucleotides. NCBI's taxonomy places the organism in Eukaryota, Viridiplantae, Streptophyta, Magnoliopsida, Malpighiales, Salicaceae. The record is from Rfam.
UAAACUGUCUAGAGCAAAUCCUUAUCUUAUUAUGUUAGAUCCACACUUGACUGCUUAAAACUACUCGUUAUCACAUGCUCGACUACGUAAACCAGCAGAGAUGCGUGCUUCUAGGUCUUUGA